CCCCGCAAUGAUCGCGUCGGUGUCCCGAAAGGGGCUUAAAAGGGAACGCGGUGCGGGAGGCGACUCCCCAUUCCGCGGCUGUCCCUGCAACUGUAAGCGGCGAGCGCGAUGCAUAUGCGCGGCGGAGCAAGGGCUUCGCCGCCAGCCACUGGGCCGGACGCUAAAUCCUGCGAGGCCUGGGAAGGCCUUGCAUCGACGCGACGACCCGCGAGCCAGGAGACCUGCCGGCGUCUGGUCGCUCUU
This 243-nucleotide non-coding RNA is filed under the name Sphingobium indicum. Lineage: Bacteria; Pseudomonadati; Pseudomonadota; Alphaproteobacteria; Sphingomonadales; Sphingobiaceae. The record is from RNAcentral.